GACAAACGCUGGCGGCGUGCUUAACACAUGCAAGUCGAACGGUCACUCUUCGGAGUGAUAGUGGCGGACGGGUGAGUAACACGUAGUUAACCUACCCUUAUGUGGGGAAUAACCCCUCGAAAGAGGAGCUAAUACCGCAUACGCUCUUUUGUGAUAGCAGAAGAGGAAACCUUACUCGUAAGAGUUGGGGCAGAAGGAUGGGACUGCGGCGGAUUAGCUAGAUGGUGGGGUAACGGCCUACCAUGGCGACGAUCCGUAGCUGGUCUGAGAGGACGACCAGCCACACUGGGACUGAGACACGGCCCAGACUCCUACGGGAGGCAGCAGUGAGGAAUAUUCCACAAUGGGCGAAAGCCUGAUGGAGCGACGCCGCGUGCGGGAAGAAGCC
Molecule: ribosomal RNA, 388 nt
Filed under: uncultured bacterium
Lineage: Bacteria
Description: bacterial SSU rRNA
Rfam family: Bacterial small subunit ribosomal RNA
Source: RNAcentral